UACGAAGGGGGCUAGCGUUGUUCGGAAUUACUGGGCGUAAAGCGCACGUAGGCGGAUGUGUAAGUUGGGGGUGAAAUCCCGGGGCUCAACCCCGGAAUUGCCUUCAAGACUGCAUGUCUGGAGGUCAGGAGAGGCGAGCGGAAUACCGAGUGUAGAGGUGAAAUUCGCAGAUAUUCGGUAGAACACCAGUGGCGAAGGCGGCUCGCUGGACUGAUACUGACGCUGAGGUGCGAAAGCGUGGGGAGCAAACAGG
Molecule: ribosomal RNA, 253 nt
Filed under: uncultured bacterium
Lineage: Bacteria
Description: partial 16S ribosomal RNA
Rfam family: Bacterial small subunit ribosomal RNA
Source: RNAcentral